Molecule: ribosomal RNA, 443 nt
Filed under: Anthocephalum alicae
Lineage: Eukaryota; Metazoa; Platyhelminthes; Cestoda; Rhinebothriidea; Anthocephaliidae
Description: SSU rRNA
Rfam family: Eukaryotic small subunit ribosomal RNA
Source: RNAcentral
UGCAGCCGCGGUAAUUCCAGCUCCAAUAGCGUAUAUUAAAGUUGCUGCAGUUAAAAAGCUCGUAGUUGGAUCUCGGUAGCACUGAGGCCUGUCGUUGGUGUGCAGUAUGGCUAUUGAUGCAUGGGCGCUGCCUGUGUCGUCGUGGUCGGCUGUUGCAACUCGGCAUGGCGUUGGUGUCGCCUUUCAGCCAUGUCUGUGGUGCAAUACCCACAGGUGUAGGCGAGUGUCAGGCGGUGCUUUGCGACAGCAAGGUCCGUCGGCUCGUUUGCAUGCCUUCGGAUGCCCUUCAAAAGGUGUCCGCGGGCGGAUGGCACGUUUACUUUGAACAAAUUUGAGUGCUCAAACCAGGCCGCAGUUGCCUGAAAAGUUUUGCAUGGAAUAAUGGAAUAGGACUUCGGUUCUAUUUUGUUNGUUUUCGGAUCCGAAGUAAUGAUCAAAAGGGA